This 200-nucleotide long non-coding RNA is filed under the name Erythranthe guttata (spotted monkey flower). Its description in RNAcentral is "long non-coding RNA (EGUT_LNC003728)". The record is from RNAcentral. Lineage: Eukaryota; Viridiplantae; Streptophyta; Magnoliopsida; Lamiales; Phrymaceae.
GCCCCUUCUCGCCAUGAGAGUCGAUCUAUUAUUGUCGUCCGAGAAGAAUGAGAUCAGUCUCCAUGCGGGUGGAGAUUAGACGGUGUUUUUGUGGUGACGAUGGUGGGGAUGGUGAUGGUGUGGUGUGACGACGGUAUGGUGACAAUGGAAAGACAGAUCUAGAGUUUUUGGUUAGAUCCGGCUGGGCGGAGAAAGUCGCG